RNAcentral lists this long non-coding RNA (572 nucleotides) under Capsella rubella. RNAcentral describes it as "long non-coding RNA (CRUB_LNC004396)". The record is from RNAcentral. Lineage: Eukaryota; Viridiplantae; Streptophyta; Magnoliopsida; Brassicales; Brassicaceae.
UCCUCUUCCAUGAACAUAACAUGUAAAUUUCAAAUCAUAAUAUAUAAAGAAACUGUAUAAAUUUAUAGUUUUUUUUUUUGAUAAAAUAGUUUCUUUUGUUAAACAGAGAACCAUGCAGCUGCAGUGGGAAUGUUACGUAUGGGGGCAAUGAUCGAUCGGACGGUGAGAAAUUAAUGAUGAAAGAAUGGGACCUCAAGUGACCUAUCAGGCACGUUAAUUUGCCGAGAGAAGGGUAAUAACACCAACAACUCCAAAAUGGUCACUCAGAUAUAUAGCCACACACAUAGCCAUCUUUAAUUUGUUCAAGCUGUCAAAAACCCUAAAACUUCGAAACUAGCCUAGCCCACUUGAGAUUUCAUCAUCCUUCGAUCAUUGUUCAUUAUCACACAUACAAUUGCAUGUGAUUCGUAGAGUGGUCCAUUUCGUUAAAUCACUGUACCACGUUCUCUCAAAUGUAGUAUUGAAAUUGUGAUUGAUCAAAUUAAAAAAAAAAGAAAGUGAUUGAUUAAUCAGCCCCUUAAGUGUCUUAAUCCUUCUUUAAUACUUGAUUGAAAUUAUAAACUGAAAAUAAC